RNAcentral lists this transfer RNA (86 nucleotides) under Aureispira sp. RNAcentral's name for it is "tRNA-Ser". It matches the Rfam family "tRNA". Rfam says of the family: Transfer RNA (tRNA) molecules are approximately 80 nucleotides in length. Their secondary structure includes four short double-helical elements and three loops (D, anti-codon, and T loops). Further hydrogen bonds mediate the characteristic L-shaped molecular structure. tRNAs have two regions of fundamental functional importance: the anti-codon, which is responsible for specific mRNA codon recognition, and the 3' end, to which the tRNAs corresponding amino acid is attached (by aminoacyl-tRNA synthetases). tRNAs cope with the degeneracy of the genetic code in two manners: having more than one tRNA (with a specific anti-codon) for a particular amino acid; and 'wobble' base-pairing, i.e. permitting non-standard base-pairing at the 3rd anti-codon position. The record is from RNAcentral. Lineage: Bacteria; Pseudomonadati; Bacteroidota; Saprospiria; Saprospirales; Saprospiraceae. RNAcentral also lists the same sequence under 1 other name.
GGAGGAUUGGCCGAGUGGAAAUGGCACAUCCCUGCUAAGGAUUGGUUGGGGUAAUACCCUCACAGGUUCGAUCCCUGUAUCCUCCG